GCAUACGAUCUACGGAUGAAAGCGGGGGAUCGCAAGACCUCGCGCGAUUGGAGCGGCCGAUAUCAGAUUAGCUAGUUGGUGAGGUAAAGGCUCACCAAGGCGACGAUCUGUAGCUGGUCUGAGAGGACGACCAGCCACACUGGAACUGAGACACGGUCCAGACUCCUACGGGAGGCAGCAGUGGGGAAUUUUGGACAAUGGGCGCAAGCCUGAUCCAGCAAUGCCGCGUGCAGGAUGAAGGCCUUCGGGUUGUAAACUGCUUUUGUACGGAGCGAAACGGUCCUUUCUAAUACAGAGGGCUAAUGACGGUACCGUAAGAAUAAGCACCGGCUAACUACGUGCCAGCAGCCGCGGUAAUACGUAGGGUGCGAGCGUUAAUCGGAAUUACUGGGCGUAAAGCGUGCGCAGGCGGUUAUAUAAGACAGAUGUGAAAUCCCCGGGCUCAACCUGGGACCUGCAUUUGUGACUGUAUAGCUAGAGUACGGUAGAGGGGGAUGGAAUUCCGCGUGUAGCAGUGAAAUGCGUAGAUAUGCGGAGGAACACCGAUGGCGAAGGCAAUCCCCUGGACCUGUACUGACGCUCAUGCACGAAAGCGUGGGGAGCAAACAGGAUUAGAUACCCUGGUAGUCCACGCCCUAAACGAUGUCAACUGGUUGUUGGGUCUUCACUGACUCAGUAACGAAGCUAACGCGUGAAGU
RNAcentral lists this ribosomal RNA (698 nucleotides) under uncultured beta proteobacterium. RNAcentral's name for it is "bacterial SSU rRNA". It matches the Rfam family "Bacterial small subunit ribosomal RNA", at positions 171 to 865 of the family's 1533-position model. The record is from RNAcentral. Lineage: Bacteria; Pseudomonadati; Pseudomonadota; Betaproteobacteria.